CAGUCGCCGCGGGAACACAGAGGGUGCAAGCGUUAAUCGGAAUUACUGGGCGUAAAGCGCGCGUAGGUGGUUUGUUAAGUUGGAUGUGAAAGCCCCGGGCUCAACCUGGGAACUGCAUCCAAAACUGGCAAGCUAGAGUACGGUAGAGGGUGGUGGAAUUUCCUGUGUAGCGGCGAAAUGCGUAGAUAUAGGAAGGAACACCAGUGGCGAAGGCGACCACUUGGACUGAUACUGACACUGAGGUGCGAAAGCGUGGGGAGCAAACAGGAUUAGAUACCCCCGUAGUCCCUGUCUCUUAUAC
RNAcentral lists this ribosomal RNA (301 nucleotides) under uncultured bacterium. RNAcentral's name for it is "partial 16S ribosomal RNA". It matches the Rfam family "Bacterial small subunit ribosomal RNA", at positions 509 to 807 of the family's 1533-position model. The record is from RNAcentral.